Molecule: ribosomal RNA, 497 nt
Filed under: uncultured bacterium
Lineage: Bacteria
Description: partial 16S ribosomal RNA
Rfam family: Bacterial small subunit ribosomal RNA
Source: RNAcentral
GAUGAACGCUGGCGGCGUGCCUAAUACAUGCAAGUCGAGCGAACAGACGAGGGGCUUGCUCCUCUGACGUUAGCGGCGGACGGGUGAGUAACACGUGGAUAACCUACCUAUAAGACUGGGAUAACUUCGGGAAACCGAAGCUAAUACCGGAUAAUAUAUUGAACCGCAUGGUUCAAUAGUGAAAGACGGUUUUGCUGUCACUUAUAGAUGGAUCCGCGCCGCAUUAGCUAGUUGGUAAGGUAACGGCUUACCAAGGCGACGAUGCGUAGCCGACCUGAGAGGGUGAUCGGCCACACUGGAACUGAGACACGGUCCAGACUCCUACGGGAGGCAGCAGUAGGGAAUCUUCCGCAAUGGGCGAAAGCCUGACGGAGCAACGCCGCGUGAGUGAUGAAGGUCUUCGGAUCGUAAAACUCUGUUAUUAGGGAAGAACAAAUGUGUAAGUAACUAUGCACGUCUUGACGGUACCUAAUCAGAAAGCCACGGCUAACUACGUG